This 497-nucleotide ribosomal RNA is filed under the name uncultured bacterium. Its description in RNAcentral is "partial 16S ribosomal RNA". It matches the Rfam family "Bacterial small subunit ribosomal RNA", at positions 28 to 507 of the family's 1533-position model. The record is from RNAcentral.
GACGAACGCUGGCGGCGUGCCUAAUACAUGCAAGUUGAGCGCUGAAGGUUGGUACUUGUACCAACUGGAUGAGCAGCGAACGGGUGAGUAACGCGUGGGGAAUCUGCCUUUGAGCGGGGGACAACAUUUGGAAACGAAUGCUAAUACCGCAUAAAAACUUUAAACACAAGUUUUAAGUUUGAAAGAUGCAAUUGCAUCACUCAAAGAUGAUCCCGCGUUGUAUUAGCUAGUUGGUGAGGUAAAGGCUCACAAAGGCGAUGAUACAUAGCCGACCUGAGAGGGUGAUAGGCCACAUUGGGACUGAGACACGGCCCAAACUCCUACGGGAGGCAGCAGUAGGGAAUCUUCGGCAAUGGACGAAAGUCUGACCGAGCAACGCCGCGUGAGUGAAGAAGGUUUUCGGAUCGUAAAACUCUGUUGGUAGAGAAGAACGUUGGUGAGAGUGGAAAGCUCAUCAAGUGACGGUAACUACCCAGAAAGGGACGGCUAACUACGUG